UGCUUUUAGAAUCUGUGCCGAGACUUCGUCGGAAACUAAUCCAGUAGAGUUGAUGAGGCUCCUAAGAUAAGCGAGGCG
Molecule: non-coding RNA, 78 nt
Organism: Schistosoma haematobium
Lineage: Eukaryota; Metazoa; Platyhelminthes; Trematoda; Strigeidida; Schistosomatidae
Source: Rfam